Molecule: transfer RNA, 69 nt
Filed under: Bolitoglossa n. sp. RLM-2004
Lineage: Eukaryota; Metazoa; Chordata; Amphibia; Caudata; Plethodontidae
Description: tRNA-Met
Source: RNAcentral
AGUAAAAUAAGCUAAAUAAAGCUUUUGGGUUCAUACCCCAAAAAUGUUGAUUACCUCAUCUUUUACUAA